UAGCUCAGGGUAGAGCACAUGCUUAGCAUGCACGAGGUCCUGGGUUCAAUCCCCAG
This 56-nucleotide transfer RNA is filed under the name Camelus bactrianus (Bactrian camel). It matches the Rfam family "tRNA", at positions 8 to 63 of the family's 71-position model. Rfam says of the family: Transfer RNA (tRNA) molecules are approximately 80 nucleotides in length. Their secondary structure includes four short double-helical elements and three loops (D, anti-codon, and T loops). The record is from Rfam by way of RNAcentral. RNAcentral also lists the same sequence under 2 other names. Lineage: Eukaryota; Metazoa; Chordata; Mammalia; Artiodactyla; Camelidae.